AAAUGUUAGAAAUUGGAAGUGAUCAGUGAUCUUUUUUCCUUUCUCCCCAUUGCUCUGGUGCUGCUGGAAUUUCUUGAUGCAGUGGCAUAUUCGCUGGAAAGGUCAUGUUGUUCUCCAUUGAGAUUGGACAUCUUUGACGGGCGGCGGUGCACUAAGUCAUGUUGUCUGCUUACUCCAGGGGCUUGAAUGAGUCUUCAGCUAUUUAAGCAAGGUUCAAUCUGAAAGGCAUUGUAGUUAGGCACGAGGUUUGUGCACCCAGCUCAAGGUAUUGGAACGUGAAUUUUCCUAUAGGACAAUGGUGCCUAGGAUUUAUAACUCGAGGUAAGCAUGAACAAGACAACCACAGCUGAAAAGAACAACAAUACAAAAUAGUCUAUAUGGAUCCUGUUUUGUUUCAGAAUUUCACAAACACAUGUUGCCUAUAUGAAACAUGGUGAUGCUUAGAUUCUAUACAUGCUCACAUAGAAAUGAUCAGGUCAUUUUCAUUAUAAACUGCGAUUUUCUAUCUCUUCUUCAUUAUAGAAAUGCAAAUCCUACCAAGAAUGUCUUCUUUUUGCGGUUACUGUAGCAAAGCAAGCAAACUUACGAUACUGGCUUAUUUUUUUGAAAACAUAAUCCUAACUCUCCAACAUGAAUAAAAGAAAAUUUCUUACAUAUUAUUCAAUAGAUACCUUCCUGUUUUCCAAUUACCAUCUAUCAUGAACUUCAUCACAUAUAAUGCCUCAAAUUCUCAAAUGAACGGAAAACUCUGUUCACAUGUUAUGAAUGGUAGAAAUGACGCCUCUCUCUCU
Long non-coding RNA from Panicum virgatum (switchgrass), 791 nucleotides. RefSeq lists it as uncharacterized. The transcript has 3 exons. Lineage: Eukaryota; Viridiplantae; Streptophyta; Magnoliopsida; Poales; Poaceae. The record is from RefSeq and is a predicted model, not a curated record.